This 919-nucleotide ribosomal RNA is filed under the name Staphylococcus aureus. RNAcentral's name for it is "bacterial SSU rRNA". It matches the Rfam family "Bacterial small subunit ribosomal RNA", at positions 1 to 901 of the family's 1533-position model. The record is from RNAcentral. Lineage: Bacteria; Bacillati; Bacillota; Bacilli; Caryophanales; Staphylococcaceae.
UUUAUGGAGAGUUUGAUCCUGGCUCAGGAUGAACGCUGGCGGCGUGCCUAAUACAUGCAAGUCGAGCGAACGGACGAGAAGCUUGCUUCUCUGAUGUUAGCGGCGGACGGGUGAGUAACACGUGGAUAACCUACCUAUAAGACUGGGAUAACUUCGGGAAACCGGAGCUAAUACCGGAUAAUAUUUUGAACCGCAUGGUUCAAAAGUGAAAGACGGUCUUGCUGUCACUUAUAGAUGGAUCCGCGCUGCAUUAGCUAGUUGGUAAGGUAACGGCUUACCAAGGCAACGAUGCAUAGCCGACCUGAGAGGGUGAUCGGCCACACUGGAACUGAGACACGGUCCAGACUCCUACGGGAGGCAGCAGUAGGGAAUCUUCCGCAAUGGGCGAAAGCCUGACGGAGCAACGCCGCGUGAGUGAUGAAGGUCUUCGGAUCGUAAAACUCUGUUAUUAGGGAAGAACAUAUGUGUAAGUAACUGUGCACAUCUUGACGGUACCUAAUCAGAAAGCCACGGCUAACUACGUGCCAGCAGCCGCGGUAAUACGUAGGUGGCAAGCGUUAUCCGGAAUUAUUGGGCGUAAAGCGCGCGUAGGCGGUUUUUUAAGUCUGAUGUGAAAGCCCACGGCUCAACCGUGGAGGGUCAUUGGAAACUGGAAAACUUGAGUGCAGAAGAGGAAAGUGGAAUUCCAUGUGUAGCGGUGAAAUGCGCAGAGAUAUGGAGGAACACCAGUGGCGAAGGCGACUUUCUGGUCUGUAACUGACGCUGAUGUGCGAAAGCGUGGGGAUCAAACAGGAUUAGAUACCCUGGUAGUCCACGCCGUAAACGAUGAGUGCUAAGUGUUAGGGGGUUUCCGCCCCUUAGUGCUGCAGCUAACGCAUUAAGCACUCCGCCUGGGGAGUACGACCGCAAGGUUGAAACU